RNAcentral lists this ribosomal RNA (434 nucleotides) under uncultured bacterium. RNAcentral's name for it is "partial 16S ribosomal RNA". It matches the Rfam family "Bacterial small subunit ribosomal RNA", at positions 341 to 792 of the family's 1533-position model. The record is from RNAcentral.
ACGGAAGGCAGCAGUGGGGAAUAUUGCGCAAUGGGCGAAAGCCUGAUGCAGCGACGCCGCGUGAGCGAAGAAGUUAUUCGUAAUGUAAAGCUCUAUCAGCAGGGAAGAAAAUGACGGUACCUGACUAAGAAGCUCCGGCUAAAUACGUGCCAGCAGCCGCGGUAAUACAUAGGGAGCAAGCGUUAUCCGGAUUUACUGGGUGUAAAGGGUGCGUAGGCGGCAUGGCAAGUCAGUCGUUAAAGACCAGAGCUUAACUCUGGACCAGCGAUUGAAACUGUCAAGCUAGAGUACAGGAGAGGUUAGUGGAACUACUAGUGUAGAGGUGGAAUUCGUAGAUAUUAGUAAGAACACCAAUGGCGAAGGCAGCUAACUGGCCUCAAACUGACGCUGAGGCACGAAAGUGUGGGGAGCAAACAGGAUUAGAUACCCUGGUA